UCUUAUAUUUUUGUGACCAAGCGAUUAAUUACUCAGUAAGUGAUGAAAAUAGGUCCAGCUUGUUGUUGCCAUCACUAUGAAUAUGAAAAAUUUGUUAAAUGACUAAAUUCCUCAUUAUAAUUGAAAUUUAUGAUUUCCCAAUAUGUGACCAAGUGAACCACAGAAGGAUGCAAGCUUGUUCUGUUUGUCAUUGCCAUGAUUGUAAACUCGAACAGUUUGUUGAGUUGUUUGUGCAUGUUCAGAUGAGUUCUCAAAUAAUUUAGGACUGAGGUUUAAAAUAUACCGUCUUAAUACUUGCAACAUAAAUAAAAUUUAACUUUGUAUUACAUCUACAUUUAAGGCGUAAAGAUGUUUUUUCUUUGUUAUCGUAGUCAGUAGUUAUCAAGUAAUGGACCACUCUCAAAUAAUCACGAAUAUUGGUUGACUUUUGGUUAGGUUUCUUUGGGAGGCCCUUCUCCUUUGAACUUGCAAGGAGCAGUCAAGCGUCUCACUGUGAUAAACCUACGAAGUAUUCUUUCUCUCAUUUUCUUGUUUAGAAAAGUUAUCAACUAAGUGGUCGAACUCUUCGUAAACUACCAUUCCUUGCACAUGCGCUGUAUUCGAAAGCGCAAACGAUAACCUUAGAAGAGUUUUUGAAUAAUCUUUCAAUGGUUGUCGACAAGCAGUUCAAA
Molecule: long non-coding RNA, 671 nt
Organism: Xenia sp. Carnegie-2017
Lineage: Eukaryota; Metazoa; Cnidaria; Anthozoa; Malacalcyonacea; Xeniidae
Exons: 2
Source: RefSeq, a predicted model, not a curated record